UGGGAAUUUGGACAAUGGGCGAAGCCUGAUCCAGCAAUGCCGCGUGUGUGAAGAAGGCCUUCGGGUUGUAAAGCACUUUUGUCCGGAAAGAAAUCCUUGGCUCUAAUACAGUCGGGGGAUGACGGUACCGGAAGAAUAAGCACCGGCUAACUACGUGCCAGCAGCCGCGGUAAUACGUAGGGUGCAAGCGUUAAUCGGAAUUACUGGGCGUAAAGCGUGCGCAGGCGGUUUGCUAAGACCGAUGUGAAAUCCCCGGGCUCAACCUGGGAACUGCAUUGGUGACUGGCAGGCUAGAGUAUGGCAGAGGGGGGUAGAAUUCCACGUGUAGCAGUGAAAUGCGUAGAGAUGUGGAGGAAUACCGAUGGCGAAGGCAGCCCCCUGGGCCAAUACUGACGCUCAUGCACGAAAAGCGUGGGGAGCAAACAGGAUUAGAUACCCUGGUAGUCCACGCCCUAAAACGAUGUCAACUAGUUGUUGGGGAUUCAUUUCCUUAGUAACGUAGCUAACGCGUGAAGUUGACCGCCUGGGGAGUACGGUCGCAAGAUUAAAACUUAAAGGAAUUGACGGGGUCAUAGCUGUUUCCU
This 584-nucleotide ribosomal RNA is filed under the name uncultured bacterium. Its description in RNAcentral is "partial 16S ribosomal RNA". It matches the Rfam family "Bacterial small subunit ribosomal RNA", at positions 357 to 1375 of the family's 1533-position model. The record is from RNAcentral.